This 373-nucleotide ribosomal RNA is filed under the name Lipolagus ochotensis (eared blacksmelt). Its description in RNAcentral is "partial 16S ribosomal RNA". It matches the Rfam family "Bacterial large subunit ribosomal RNA", at positions 1964 to 2487 of the family's 2925-position model. The record is from RNAcentral. Lineage: Eukaryota; Metazoa; Chordata; Actinopteri; Argentiniformes; Bathylagidae.
AUCACUUGUCUUUUAAAUGAAGACCCGUAUGAAUGGCACGACGAGGGCUUAACUGUCUCCUUCUCUUCGUCAAUGAAAUUGAUCUCCCCGUGCAGAAGCGGGGAUAAAUACAUAAGACGAGAAGACCCUAUGGAGCUUUAGACAAAAGGCAGACUACGUUAAAACUCCUAAACCACCAGGAAAAAACACAGUAGCCCCUCGCCAACAUGUCUUCGGUUGGGGCGACCGCGGGGGAAAACCAAGCCCCCAUGUGGAAUGGAAAAACCUUUUCCACAGCCAUGAGUUACAACUCUAAGCAACAGAAUUUCUGACCAAAACGAUCCGGCAUACGCCGAUCAACGGACCAAGUUACCCUAGGGAUAACAGCGCAAUC